ACCAGGAAGGAAGUGGAGAGAGUAGGACAGGAAAGGGAAGAAGUCAAGUAAGAAAUUUCAGGUAUGCAAUUUUCCCCUGGAGGAGCAAGGUCACUUCCAGUUGAGAAUGACUAAGAUGCCAGUCAACAUUCAAGAACAUUCUGAUUUGAAGACUCCGUUUCAUCCAUGAAAUGCAUUGUAGGAAUGACAUAAUUGUGCAUUUUGAGGAUUAUGGAGAAGAAUCUAGUGGGAUCGUGCAUGGGACAGCCUUUGUAAAAUGUAAGAUAGCUACUGAAAUCCUAAGACUUUCAUAAAACCUGAGUCAGG
Orcinus orca (killer whale) is the source of this 306-nucleotide long non-coding RNA. RefSeq lists it as uncharacterized. NCBI's taxonomy places the organism in Eukaryota, Metazoa, Chordata, Mammalia, Artiodactyla, Delphinidae. The transcript is spliced from 4 exons. The record is from RefSeq and is a predicted model, not a curated record.